UACAGAGGUCCCGAGCGUUGUUCGGAUUCACUGGGCGUAAAGGGUGCGUAGGUGGCUUUGCAAGUCUGAUGUGAAAUCUCCGGGCCCAACCCGGAAAUGGCAUUAGAAACUGUGAGGCUGGAGGCUUGGAGGGGGAACUGGAAUGCUUGGUGUAGCAGUGAAAUGCGUAGAUAUCAAGCGGAACACCGGUGGCGAAGGCGAGUUCCUGGACAAGACCUGACACUGAGGCACGAAAGCCGGGGGAGCAAACAGGAUUAGAAACCCCCGUAGUCC
Molecule: ribosomal RNA, 273 nt
Filed under: uncultured bacterium
Lineage: Bacteria
Description: partial 16S ribosomal RNA
Rfam family: Bacterial small subunit ribosomal RNA
Source: RNAcentral